This 407-nucleotide ribosomal RNA is filed under the name Lygosoma sp. E59. Its description in RNAcentral is "partial 12S ribosomal RNA". It matches the Rfam family "Bacterial small subunit ribosomal RNA", at positions 794 to 1406 of the family's 1533-position model. The record is from RNAcentral. Lineage: Eukaryota; Metazoa; Chordata; Lepidosauria; Squamata; Scincidae.
GCCUAACCAUUAACAAAGACAGCCGAACCACAAUACUGUUCGCCAGAGAACUACGAACGAAAAGUUUAAAACUCAAAGGAUUUGGCGGUACCCCAUUCCGACCUAGAGGAGCCUGUCCUAUAAUCGAUACUCCACGCUCUACCCAACCACCCCUUGCAACUCAGCCUAUAUACCGCCGUCGUCAGCUUACCUUGUGAAAGAUACAGAGUAGGCAAAACAGUUAACAACUAACACGUCAGGUCAAGGUGUAGCAUAUGGGGUGGAAGAGAUGGGCUACAUUUUCUGAAACAGAAAACACGAAUGACACGGUGAAACCAGUGUCUGAAGGCGGAUUUAGUAGUAAGGUAAACAAGACAUUUUACCUUAAACCCGCUCUGGGGUGCGCACACACCGCCCGUCACCUCUCA